CAAGUUAAGUUUAACUUGGUAAAAAAGGAAGUCAAAUUAAAAAGUGAAAAGAAGGCUAAUUUAGGGUGAAGGGGUGGAAUCCGCACACAAUAAGUUGUACUAUUACUUCUUUUUUUUGACGCUUCGAAAACUAAAUGAGAGACCGGGAUUAGAUACCCCGUUAUUUUUUUUGUAAAUUUUGAUUGUUAUCAGUUUACCUGAGUAUUACGGGUUAAAAUAUUUUUACGGGCUUAAAGUUUGUCCGUGGGUUAUUUAGAUACUUAAAACUCAAAAAACUUGGCGGUGCCUUAUUUCCUCCCAGGGGAACCUGUCCUGUAAUCGAUGAUCCACGAUUAAUCUUACUUUUUUUUGAAUUUAUGUGUAUAUAUUAUCAGUUUGUAUACCGUCGUCGUCAGAUUACCUUUAAGAGUUAAAAAGUUGUCUGUUAAAUUAGGAAUUACUUUCAUGCUAUUUAGGUGUGUAAUUAGAUUUAAUUUUUGAUGUCAGAUCAAGGUGCAGCUUAUAAAAAAGUAGAGAUGGGUUACAAUAUAAAUUUUAUAUUAUGGAUACUGGCUUGAAACAGCUAGGUGAAAGCGGACUUGGGAAGUAAUUUAUAAUGUGUUAAAUUAGUAAGUUUAUGUGAAUAUAGGUACUAAGGUGCGC
This 642-nucleotide ribosomal RNA is filed under the name Gibbula racketti. Its description in RNAcentral is "partial 12S ribosomal RNA". It matches the Rfam family "Bacterial small subunit ribosomal RNA", at positions 599 to 1384 of the family's 1533-position model. Lineage: Eukaryota; Metazoa; Mollusca; Gastropoda; Trochida; Trochidae. The record is from RNAcentral.